Molecule: ribosomal RNA, 770 nt
Filed under: Telenomus remus
Lineage: Eukaryota; Metazoa; Arthropoda; Insecta; Hymenoptera; Scelionidae
Description: 12S ribosomal RNA
Source: RNAcentral
UAAAUUUAUAUUAUUUUAGUAAAAUUUUAAUUUUAAAAUUUUAAUUUAUAUAAAAUUUGUUUAAUAAUUAAUUGGUAAUAUUUAUAAUUAAUAAAUUAAUUAAUUUUGGAAUUAGAAAUUUUAAAAAUUUUUAACUAAUUAUAGUGCCAGCAGUUGCGGUUAAACUAUUAAAAAAAAUUAAAUUUAAUAAUUUAUUAUUAAUAUAUUUAAAAAUUUAUUUAAAUAAAUUUAUUAAUUUUUAGUGAAAUAAAAUUAUAAAUUUAAUUUAUUUAUGUUAUUUAAAAUAUUUAUAUUAAAAAUUAAACUAGGAUUAGAUACCCUAUUAUUUUAAUAUUUAUUAUAAUAAUUGAUUAGUAAAUGUAAAAUCAUUAAAUUUAAUUAAUAUGGGAGUAAUUUAAAUUAUUAGGGGAACUUGAAAAUUAAUUUGAUAAUCCACGAUUAUAACUACUUUAUUUAAUUUAUUUUGUAUGAUUGUUUAUAAUUUAAUUUAAUAAAAUUAUUUAUUUUAUAUGUUUAAAUUUUAUUUUAAAAAUUUUUACAUAAAACAAUUCAAAUCAAUAUUUAUUUAUAAUAAAGAUUAUUUGAGUUACAAUAAAUUUUAUUUUUGGAUUUAAUUAAUUAAUUUAAUUAUUGAAAUUGGAUUUAAAAUUAAAUAUUUUAUUUAAUUAUAUUGAAUUUAAAUUAAAUUAGCUACAAACUGCCCGUCACUCUUUUUUUAAAAAGAUAAGUCGUAACAAGGUAAUUAUAUUGGAAAAUAUAAUUAGAUUAAU